GCUGGAACUAAACCCAUGAAGGGAUUUGGCCGUCCACCUUUUGGGGCAGGUCCAGGUGUGGGAAUGGGAAGCUCCAGAGGUCUGGGAGUACCUCAGCUUGCCAGGAAUCAAGGAAAGGCAUAUGGCAAUAAUGGUUAUGGAGCUCAGCCCAUGGGAGGCUACAAUGGCGGGUAUGGUGGUGUUGGUUUGGGUCUGGGACCUCGGUAUGGAAAUGGAGGAAUGAAGGGACCGAAGCAAGGU
Molecule: RNA transcript, 240 nt
Organism: Lates calcarifer (barramundi perch)
Lineage: Eukaryota; Metazoa; Chordata; Actinopteri; Centropomidae
Exons: 4
Source: RefSeq, a predicted model, not a curated record